Molecule: long non-coding RNA, 406 nt
Filed under: Anas zonorhyncha (Eastern spot-billed duck)
Lineage: Eukaryota; Metazoa; Chordata; Aves; Anseriformes; Anatidae
Description: lncRNA (ENSAZOG00000005272.1)
Source: RNAcentral
GUCAAGGAGGUUGGAGGAGGUCGGGAUGGGUUGGAGGACCUCAAGCGUUGAGAACAUGGCUUGGAAGACCUCGAGAAGGUUGGAGGAUGUGGGGUGGAGGACCUCAAGGAGGGUGAAGGACAAGAGUUGGAGGAGGUUGAGGAGGUUGGAGGAGGUAGAGAUGGGUUGGAGGACAUCAACGUUUGAGAACAUGGCUUGGAGGACCUCGAAGAGGUUGGAGGAGAAGAGUUGGAGGAGGUUGGAGGAGGUGGAGAUGGGUUGGAGGACCUCAAGGAGGGUGGAAGAUAUGGGGUGGAGGAGGUGUAGGAGGUUGGAGGAGGUUGGGAUGGGUUGGAGGACCUCAACGGGGUUUGAGGACAUGGGUUGGAGGACCUCGAGGAGGUUUGGGGACACGAAUUUGGGGACA